UUAAAUUGAAGAGUUUGAUCAUGGCUCAGAUUGAACGCUGGCGGCAGGCCUAACACAUGCAAGUCGAGCGGUAGCACAGAGAGCUUGCUCUCGGGUGACGAGCGGCGGACGGGUGAGUAAUGUCUGGGAAACUGCCUGAUGGAGGGGGAUAACUACUGGAAACGGUAGCUAAUACCGCAUAAUGUCGCAAGACCAAAGUGGGGGACCUUCGGGCCUCAUGCCAUCAGAUGUGCCCAGAUGGGAUUAGCUAGUAGGUGGGGUAACGGCUCACCUAGGCGACGAUCCCUAGCUGGUCUGAGAGGAUGACCAGCCACACUGGAACUGAGACACGGUCCAGACUCCUACGGGAGGCAGCAGUGGGGAA
This 364-nucleotide ribosomal RNA is filed under the name Klebsiella pneumoniae IS43. RNAcentral's name for it is "SSU rRNA". It matches the Rfam family "Bacterial small subunit ribosomal RNA", at positions 1 to 361 of the family's 1533-position model. Lineage: Bacteria; Pseudomonadati; Pseudomonadota; Gammaproteobacteria; Enterobacterales; Enterobacteriaceae. The record is from RNAcentral.